GACGGAGGGGGCUAGCGUUGUUCGGAAUUACUGGGCGUAAAGCGCGUGUAGGCGGCCGCUCAAGUUAGGCGUGAAAGGCCCGGGCUCAACCUGGGAAUGGCGCUGAAGACUGCUCGGCUGGAGUACGGGAGAGGGUGGUGGAAUUCCCAGUGUAGAGGUGAAAUUCGUAGAUAUUGGGAGGAACACCAGUGGCGAAGGCGGCCACCUGGCCCGGCACUGACGCUGAGGCGCGAAAGCGUGGGGAGCAAACAGG
This 253-nucleotide ribosomal RNA is filed under the name uncultured bacterium. RNAcentral describes it as "partial 16S ribosomal RNA". It matches the Rfam family "Bacterial small subunit ribosomal RNA", at positions 524 to 776 of the family's 1533-position model. The record is from RNAcentral.